UCGGGGGGGGGGGAUGCAAAGGGGAGAGAAAGAGAGCGAGUUAAAAUGGAAGGGGGGCGAGAAAGCUAUUUCAUUCUCACCCCUUCUAUUUAUCCUCGCUCUCUUUCUCUCGCCUUCGCAUUCCCCCUAGCUUCU
Paramuricea clavata is the source of this 135-nucleotide non-coding RNA. NCBI's taxonomy places the organism in Eukaryota, Metazoa, Cnidaria, Anthozoa, Malacalcyonacea, Plexauridae. The record is from the annotation of a GenBank genome assembly.